AAUUCUAAAUAUUGCUCAGAAAGAGAAAUGCAUUUACAUGACUAUUGCAUAAUCUGCCUACUGCCAAAGUCAGUUCGAUAUCUAAUUAUUAGUGGGCAUGUACCUACUCAGUGGCGGCCACCUGUGCUAAUUAGCGAUCUAACAUUCUCCGAACAACUGUGUGUAAGUGUAACUGGGGAGGAAGUGUAGUGCAUCAACUGAAGGCAUGCAGCUUGUGGAUCUGUGCAAAACUGCUACAGAGAAGUCUUCCCUCACUCCCCAUCCACCCCCAUGAAACAACACCUCUGAUAAGGGUGUCUAUGUGAUUUUUGCACUUGCAUAGGAGAGGAGACGGAGUGAUUCCAACGGCACUUGACACCCAGCGGGGCAAGGUGGUCACUGACCUGGAUGACUUUCAAG
This is a non-coding RNA of Salvelinus sp. IW2-2015, 399 nucleotides long. Lineage: Eukaryota; Metazoa; Chordata; Actinopteri; Salmoniformes; Salmonidae. The record is from RefSeq and is a predicted model, not a curated record.